GACGAACGCUGGCGGCGUGCUUAACACAUGUAAGUCGAACGGAAAGGCCCUGCUUUUGUGGGGUGCUCGAGUGGCGAACGGGUGAGUAACACGUGAGUAACCUGCCCUUGACUUUGGGAUAACUUCAGGAAACUGGGGCUAAUACCGGAUAGGAGCUCCUGCCGCAUGGUGGGGGUUGGAAAGUUUCGGCGGUUGGGGAUGGACUCGCGGCUUAUCAGCUUGUUGGUGGGGUAGUGGCUUACCAAGGCUUUGACGGGUAGCCGGCCUGAGAGGGUGACCGGCCACAUUGGGACUGAGAUACGGCCCAGACUCCUACGGGAGGCAGCAGUGGGGAAUAUUGCACAAUGGGCGGAAGCCUGAUGCAGCAACGCCGCGUGCGGGAUGACGGCCUUCGGGUUGUAAACCGCUUUCGCCUGUGACGAAGCGUGAGUGACGGUAAUGGGUAAAGAAGCACCGGCUAACUACGUG
RNAcentral lists this ribosomal RNA (468 nucleotides) under uncultured bacterium. Its description in RNAcentral is "partial 16S ribosomal RNA". It matches the Rfam family "Bacterial small subunit ribosomal RNA", at positions 28 to 507 of the family's 1533-position model. The record is from RNAcentral.